GACGAACGCUGGCGGCGUGCUUAACACAUGCAAGUCGAACGGAAAGGCCCUGCUUUUGUGGGGUGCUCGAGUGGCGAACGGGUGAGUAACACGUGAGUAACCUGCCCUUGACUUUGGGAUAACUUCAGGAAACUGGGGCUAAUACCGGAUAGGAGCUCCUGCUGCAUGGUGGGGGUUGGAAAGUUUCGGCGGUUGGGGAUGGACUCGCGGCUUAUCAGCUUGUUGGUGGGGUAGUGGCUUACCAAGGCUUUGACGGGUAGCCGGCCUGAGAGGGUGACCGGCCACAUUGGGACUGAGAUACGGCCCAGACUCCUACGGGAGGCAGCAGUGGGGAAUAUUGCACAAUGGGCGGAAGCCUGAUGCAGCAACGCCGCGUGCGGGAUGACGGCCUUCGGGUUGUAACCCGCUUUCGCCUGUGACGAAGCGUGAGUGACAGUAAUGGGUAAAGAAGCACCGGCUAACUACGUG
This 468-nucleotide ribosomal RNA is filed under the name uncultured bacterium. RNAcentral describes it as "partial 16S ribosomal RNA". It matches the Rfam family "Bacterial small subunit ribosomal RNA", at positions 28 to 507 of the family's 1533-position model. The record is from RNAcentral.